Long non-coding RNA from Aedes albopictus (Asian tiger mosquito), 395 nucleotides. RefSeq lists it as uncharacterized. The transcript is spliced from 2 exons. NCBI's taxonomy places the organism in Eukaryota, Metazoa, Arthropoda, Insecta, Diptera, Culicidae. The record is from RefSeq and is a predicted model, not a curated record.
GAAAAAUUCUACUUUUGAAUUUGUAAGGUGGACGAAGGGUUCCAAAUACGUGCACUUUGGACGACAUAUCAGGACUUCAGCAUGUGAUUUCUUCCCAUUUGUUCCCGCUUCUGCUGCUGAGUGAUCUUAGAGUUAAAUCAUCAAGUUUUAAAAUGUCCUCUAUGUUUUCUCCUGUUAACCUAUCUGGAAGUUUACCCAGAAUUACACCAAGAUAACCCUCAGUACGACCCGAAAUUGCCCGGAUACGAGAAAAAAUCCCGACAGAAUGCUGUGCUAUGCAACUUUUUGAAAUGCGCGCAGUUUAGGCACACAAACCAUGUUGAUAGUGCCGUGUUCUACUAAAUUAAAAAUGAAUUAAAUGUUAAUUGAUUAAAACAUUAAAGUAGAAAAUAGGA